This 62-nucleotide transfer RNA is filed under the name Oxalobacteraceae bacterium. Its description in RNAcentral is "tRNA-Lys". It matches the Rfam family "tRNA", at positions 6 to 65 of the family's 71-position model. Rfam says of the family: Transfer RNA (tRNA) molecules are approximately 80 nucleotides in length. Lineage: Bacteria; Pseudomonadati; Pseudomonadota; Betaproteobacteria; Burkholderiales; Oxalobacteraceae. The record is from RNAcentral.
GCUAGCUCAGCUGGUAGAGCAACGGACUUUUAAUCCGCAGGUCCCGGGUUCGAGCCCCGGGC